GAUGAACGCUCGCGGCGUACCUAAUACAUGCAAGUCGAGCGAACAGACGAGGAGCUUGCUCCUCUGACGUUAGCGGCGGACGGGUGAGUAACACGUGGAUAACCUACCUAUAAGACUGGGAUAACUUCGGGAAACCGGAGCUAAUACCGGAUAAUAUAUUGAACCGCAUGGUUCAAUAGUGAAAGACGGUUUUGCUGUCACUUAUAGAUGGAUCCGCGCCGCAUUAGCUAGUUGGUAAGGUAACGGCUUACCAAGGCGACGAUGCGUAGCCGACCUGAGAGGGUGAUCGGCCACACUGGAACUGAGACACGGUCCAGACUCCUACGGGAGGCAGCAGUAGGGAAUCUUCCGCAAUGGGCGAAAGCCUGACGGAGCAACGCCGCGUGAGUGAUGAAGGUCUUCGGAUCGUAAAACUCUGUUAUUAGGGAAGAACAAAUGUGUAAGUAACUAUGCACGUCUUGACGGUACCUAAGCAGAAAGCCACGGCUAACUACGU
RNAcentral lists this ribosomal RNA (496 nucleotides) under uncultured bacterium. RNAcentral describes it as "partial 16S ribosomal RNA". It matches the Rfam family "Bacterial small subunit ribosomal RNA", at positions 28 to 506 of the family's 1533-position model. The record is from RNAcentral.